Molecule: long non-coding RNA, 861 nt
Organism: Tachysurus fulvidraco (yellow catfish)
Lineage: Eukaryota; Metazoa; Chordata; Actinopteri; Siluriformes; Bagridae
Exons: 3
Source: RefSeq, a predicted model, not a curated record
GCUUCUCUGUCUCUGCUUUUCGCUACAGAGGAAAAUAAACGGUAGCUCAAAACAACUCCCGAUCGAACACGAAAACGAGAACAAAUGAACGCCAUGGCGAUAUUCACCAGAGCUAGCAAGCUACAUGGAGUAUCUAUCUAUAGGAGGCUGCCAUGACACUUGGCUUCCUGCGUUUGGAUUGGCGAGUAGCAGACUGACGUCAUGAUUUAUGAUCCAAUCAGCGGGUUGAGACUGGUUGGAUGCAGGAUGCCCUUCCUGACACGACCCUCCUGUUUGAUCCUAGCUUGGGACCAGUACUGAGAGUGAAGUCUUCAGUGGCAGUGUUAACUUCCUGUCCAGGAAGCAAACCUUGGCCAUGGCAAUGAGAGUGUGGCUUCUAGACCACCAGAAGUUAAUUGCUGAUACAUUAAUAGAUAAAGCAAGUUACAGAGUUGCUUCCAAACAGAGAAGAAAUAACCCUCUAAAUGUAAAUGUUUGUCUUAUAUCAGUCAUUUAUUUUGAACAAUAAGAUAUAUCAAAUUGGUUUGUGUAAUGUACAGUUUGCAAAGUUUAAGUACAGCGAUUGUACCACAACGGCUUUAACAGUUUAAUGUCCCCAAGGCACUGCAUACAAUGAAUGACAAAGGACAUGUAUAUAAUUUUAUAAUUUAAUUUAUUAAAAAAUUAAAAAGUACAAUGAAAAAACUAUAGCUUAUUGAAAACAACAUAUGAAUUUAGUCCUACACAAAGCUUAAAGCUGCUACAAUCCUCUUUACUUACAGAGCUGGAGCACAGAAGAGAAGUUUUCUCUGGGCUUUGCUAAUAUUUUUAAGCUGCCAGACCUGCAGUUCUUUAAACAACAUUGUUUUUUUUUUGUGCAUU